GUUUACAGAACUCAUCAACAACAGUUCGGAUCCAGACUCAGACAGUUAAUCUUAGAACCUUCACACUCCAUCACUCCAAGUCCCAUCUUUUUUUCACUUCACAACUUAAGAAACAAAAGCCCAGAGGACAGGUCUUUGGUUAAGAGUUGCCAAGGAUUUUGAGUAGUGUGGUUCGUUACUUUCAGGCUUUAGGAAGUUGGUACAUCUUGGGAUAGCUUGGGAUUUCCAAUCAGUAAAUAGAAGUAAAUAGAAGUAAAUGGCAGCUGUGAAUAUAUCCCUCUAUUCUAUAUUUUUUGUGUUUUGCCCCCUGAUGACACAAUGAACCAACUUCAGUAACUAUCUCACACACACUCACAUACAUACACCCAGACACAUACACACUCAUACCCCCACGCUCACACAUACUGCCACACACAGAUGCACAUGCACACGUGAGUUUCCUUCUGCAAAGUCUUUACUCAUGAAGUUUUAUUGUCUAGAAUACCCUUCCUCGAGUCCUAUUCUACUCCUCUCUCUCACCUCACUCUGAUUACUCACACACAUCCUACCAGAACCAACUAAGGAGUAUCCUCUUUGGGAAGCUUCCAUUUGUCCAGCAACCCCUCUGCCUCCAGCCCCAGGCUGGGGUAGAGGAACCUCCACUGUGCCUCCACAAGAAUGCUCAGGCAUUGUUAUUGGAUCAAUCAGGCUGCCGUGAUGAGUCUUCUCUUGGUCAGCUUCUUCAGGGCAGAGAGUUAAGUACUGAAUUAUCCAUCCUGGGGUGUAUGCUUGACACACAGCGGCCUUUUAUAAAACAUGUGUUUGAGGGUAAUGGGUGAAAGCGGUGAUGGAGAGUAAGGAGUGCACUAGUCGUGAUGAGCCCACGAGUGCACGGAACUGUUGAAGCACCAUAUUGUACAACUGAAAUUAGUAUAACAUUGUAUAUCAACUACACUGGAAUUUAAAAUGAGAAAAAGCAUGUGUUGAAUGAACAAAUGAGAUGAGUGCAUAAAUGAAUGAAUGAAAACGAAACAUGGGACGAGGCUGGAGAAGAACUUUUGUCACUAAGCCACCUCAUGCCAUCUAGAUUUUAUGAUAUGGGUCGGAAGUGCUUAGUCAUAUAUUUUGAGGGCAUUUUUUUCAGUCUGUUCAGCCAAGAGACUUCCUAAAUGGGGAGUGGUAGAGGGCUUGAAGCAGGUGUGGAGGAGCAGUGGCUGUCAUGAGAGAAACUGCCUGGUCAGUUUCUGGAAAUAUUCCCCUUCUGGUGACAGCAUCCUGAGUCAGGUGAGAAGGCCGCUUAACCCAAGAUGCCAGGUUUCAUGCAACCCACGGCCACCUGGAGAGCUACUCAGCGGUUUUAUGUGUUUUAUGGGGAAAAAAUUCAUCUGCAUGUGUAUUAAAAGUGAUCAAACAAGAGAAAAAAAUAUAUAAUGGUGUUUGAAGCUGUGAAGUAGAAUGUUCUGAACUGUGGGAAGAAAGCUCAUAUAACCUUCAAGCCAGCCUCCUCUCUACUGGUUGGCAAAACGUUAAAGACAUUUUUUUCUUUUCCAAGGACUUUUACAAGUGGAUUGGUGUUUGACUAAAUCAGACUGUGGACUGUGCUGCCAGUUUUCACUGCCUACUCACUGUGGGGGCUGUGGAGUGAUUCGAACAAAAAAGACUGUCUACUAAAAAGUAGCAGCACUGCUGAAGCUCCCUACUUUUGAUGCCUAAUCUGUACAGCUCUGAGAAGCAGCACUGCUCCAUUCCCCUGGAGAGGCCUGGAUCAAGAAAGAAGUGAAAUCUAAACAGUUCAAUGACAAUUCGUGGUAUUAUUUAGCCCUUGCUGACAUCUAAUAGAAUUAGGUAUAGCAUUUAUCAGGUCAAUUUCUUUUCCUUGGACUGACAGAUGGGCAAACUAAAACUUGAAAAUAGAGAAUAAAUGAUACUGGCAGAUGAAAUCUGGCAAGUAACUGAAGUUCUGUAUGAACUAUGUCACCUCUUACUUAGGUCAGGCAAGGUGAAAUUGGAGAUUAUAUCCUUGGUGUCCCUUCUUCAAUU
Molecule: long non-coding RNA, 2019 nt
Organism: Canis lupus familiaris (dog)
Lineage: Eukaryota; Metazoa; Chordata; Mammalia; Carnivora; Canidae
Exons: 3
Source: RefSeq, a predicted model, not a curated record